AGCUUGGGUAUCGAACAGGAUUAGAUACCCUGGUAGUCCACGCAGUAAACGAUGCUCACUCGCUGUUGGCAAUAGAUCGUCAGCGGCUAAGGGAAACCGAUAAGUGAGCCACCUGGGGAGUACGAUCGCAAGAUUGAAACUCAAAGGAAUUGACGGGGGCCCGCACAAGCGGUGGAACAUGUGGUUUAAUUCGAUGAUACGCGAGGAACCUUACCUGGGCUUAAAUGUACGAUGCAUAAGUGUGAAAGCACUUUUUCCUUCGGGACUUUGUACAAGGUGCUGCAUGGUUGUCGUCAGCUCGUGCCGUGAGGUGUCGGGUUAAGUCCCAUAACGAGCGCAACCCCUAUUGUUAGUUACCAGCGCGUAAAGGCGGGGACUCUAGCGAAACUGCCGGUGUAAACCGCGAGGAAGGUGGGGAUGACGUCAAAUCAGCACGGCCCUUAUGUCCAGGGCUACACACGUGUUACAAUGGCCGGUACAGCGGGCAGCGAGGCAGCGAUGCCGAGCGAAUCUCGAAAGCCGGUCCCAGUUCGGAUUGGAGUCUGCAACCCGACUCCAUGAAGGUGGAAUCGCUAGUAAUCGNCAUCACCCAUGGCGCGCUGAUACGUUCCCGGGCAUUGUACACACCGCCCGUCAAGCCAUGAAGUCUGGGGUGCCUGAAGCCGUAACCGCGAGGA
This 677-nucleotide ribosomal RNA is filed under the name uncultured organism. RNAcentral's name for it is "bacterial SSU rRNA". It matches the Rfam family "Bacterial small subunit ribosomal RNA", at positions 758 to 1451 of the family's 1533-position model. The record is from RNAcentral.